AUACAGCUGACGAGUCCCAAAUAGGACGAAACGCGCAUCCUGGAU
Molecule: non-coding RNA, 45 nt
Organism: Schistosoma rodhaini
Lineage: Eukaryota; Metazoa; Platyhelminthes; Trematoda; Strigeidida; Schistosomatidae
Source: Rfam